UGAGGGACUAAAAAUCCCAGAAGAGGGACCUUUUCCCUUCUCUAAACAAGGAGAGAAACCAAGACCUUCCAGAGGGGGAGCUCCACCUGUGGCUGGGGUUAUUUAUAGGACUUGGAUUUAAAUUUAAUUCUGCCCUCUGGUAACUCCAGUGGCACCUGCUACUUUAAGAGCUGGCCCCACCCUCUACGUAAGAGAGCUGUUUAGCUCCAGUGUGUACAGAUCAAAUGCAAGUUUAGCAGGCAAGACACAAGAAACAUAAACAAGUUCUGCAAAGGGUCCCUGGAGGAGGGGGGCCAGAGUGGUGGCUGGAGUCAGGCUGUGUCACCUGGGCACGAGGACCAGGAUGGGUUUAAACUAUUCUGCCCCUAGGAUAUAAAAUGGGGCGGCCGCUCCGAAAAACAUUGCACAUGUGGUCCAGCCAUUCCUCUUCUAGGUACAGACUCAAAAGAAUUGAAUGCAGGGACUUAAAUGGGUAUUUGAACAGCCACGUUGACAAGAGCCUAAAGGUAGAAGCAAGACAAGAGUCCCUGGACAGAUGAAUGACUAAACACAAUGUGGAAUAUGCACACAGUGGGAUAUCAUUCAGCCUUUAAAAAGUAGGCAAUUGUGACACCUGCUCCAAUACGGAUGUACCUUACGUGAAAUAAGCAAGACAUAAAAGGACAGAUACGAUACGAUCCCACUUCUACGACGUAAUUUUCACAACAACCUUCAGAGAGAUUAAGCAACUUUCCCAAGUUCACCAAGCCAGGAAGGAGGAAUUUGAACCCAAGUGUCCAGGGGCACAACUCAUCGCUUCCCAGGCUGAGAAGAGUAAUGUGGCAGCAGCUUGAAAAGGCGAACCUGCAGGUGC
This is a long non-coding RNA of Leopardus geoffroyi (Geoffroy's cat), 853 nucleotides long. RefSeq lists it as uncharacterized. The transcript is spliced from 3 exons. Lineage: Eukaryota; Metazoa; Chordata; Mammalia; Carnivora; Felidae. The record is from RefSeq and is a predicted model, not a curated record.